AUUGAACGCUGGCGGCAUGCCUUACACAUGCAAGUCGAACGGCAGCACGGGAGCAAUCCUGGUGGCGAGUGGCGAACGGGUGAGUAAUAUAUCGGAACGUGCCCAGUCGUGGGGAUAACGUAGCGAAAGCUACGCUAAUACCGCAUACGAUCUAUGGAUGAAAGCGGGGGAUCGCAAGACCUCGCGCGAUUGGAGCGGCCGAUAUCAGAUUAGGUAGUUGGUGAGGUAAAGGCUCACCAAGCCGACGAUCUGUAGCUGGUCUGAGAGGACGACCAGCCACACUGGACUGAGACACGGCCCAGACUCCUACGGGAGGCAGCAGUGGGGAAUUUUUGGACAAUGGGCGCAAGCCUGAUCCAGCAAUGCCGCGUGCAGGAUGAAGGCCUUC
This 388-nucleotide ribosomal RNA is filed under the name uncultured bacterium. Its description in RNAcentral is "bacterial SSU rRNA". It matches the Rfam family "Bacterial small subunit ribosomal RNA", at positions 30 to 419 of the family's 1533-position model. The record is from RNAcentral.